RNAcentral lists this ribosomal RNA (583 nucleotides) under uncultured bacterium. RNAcentral's name for it is "bacterial SSU rRNA". It matches the Rfam family "Bacterial small subunit ribosomal RNA", at positions 102 to 671 of the family's 1533-position model. The record is from RNAcentral.
ACGGGUGAGUAACACGUGGGCAACCUGCCUGUAAGACUGGGAUAACUUCGGGAAACCGGAGCUAAUACCGGAUAAUCCUUUUCCUCUCAUGAGGAAAAGCUGAAAGACGGUUUCGGCUGUCACUUACAGAUGGGCCCGCGGCGCAUUAGCUAGUUGGUGAGGUAACGGCUCACCAAGGCGACGAUGCGUAGCCGACCUGAGAGGGUGAUCGGCCACACUGGGACUGAGACACGGCCCAGACUCCUACGGGAGGCAGCAGUAGGGAAUCUUCCACAAUGGACGAAAGUCUGAUGGAGCAACGCCGCGUGAGCGAAGAAGGCCUUCGGGUCGUAAAGCUCUGUUGUUAGGGAAGAACAAGUAUCGGAGUAACUGCCGGUACCUUGACGGUACCUAACCAGAAAGCCACGGCUAACUACGUGCCAGCAGCCGCGGUAAUACGUAGGUGGCAAGCGUUGUCCGGAAUUAUUGGGCGUAAAGCGCGCGCAGGCGGUCCUUUAAGUCUGAUGUGAAAGCCCACGGCUCAACCGUGGAGGGUCAUUGGAAACUGGGGGACUUGAGUGCAGAAGAGGAAAGCGGAAUUCCA